UAGGGAAUCUUCGGCAAUGGGGGGAACCCUGACCGAGCAACGCCGCGUGAGUGAAGAAGGUUUUCGGAUCGUAAAGCUCUGUUGUUAAGGAAGAACGAGUGUGAGAAUGGAAAGUUCAUGCUGUGACGGUACUUAACCAGAAAGGGACGGCUAACUACGUGCCAGCAGCCGCGGUAAUACGUAGGUCCCGAGCGUUGUCCGGAUUUAUUGGGCGUAAAGCGAGCGCAGGCGGUUAGAAAAGUCUGAAGUGAAAGGCAGUGGCUCAACCAUUGUAGGCUUUGGAAACUGUUUAACUUGAGUGCAGAAGGGGAGAGUGGAAUUCCAUGUGUAGCGGUGAAAUGCGUAGAUAUAUGGAGGAACACCGGUGGCGAAAGCGUCUCUCUGGUCUGUAACUGACGCUGAGGCUCGAAAGCGUGGGGAGCGAACAGG
Molecule: ribosomal RNA, 429 nt
Filed under: Bacteroidota bacterium
Lineage: Bacteria; Pseudomonadati; Bacteroidota
Description: Bacteroidetes bacterium partial 16S ribosomal RNA
Rfam family: Bacterial small subunit ribosomal RNA
Source: RNAcentral